RNAcentral lists this transfer RNA (65 nucleotides) under Neurobasis chinensis. Its description in RNAcentral is "tRNA-Ala". It matches the Rfam family "tRNA". Rfam says of the family: Transfer RNA (tRNA) molecules are approximately 80 nucleotides in length. Their secondary structure includes four short double-helical elements and three loops (D, anti-codon, and T loops). Further hydrogen bonds mediate the characteristic L-shaped molecular structure. tRNAs have two regions of fundamental functional importance: the anti-codon, which is responsible for specific mRNA codon recognition, and the 3' end, to which the tRNAs corresponding amino acid is attached (by aminoacyl-tRNA synthetases). tRNAs cope with the degeneracy of the genetic code in two manners: having more than one tRNA (with a specific anti-codon) for a particular amino acid; and 'wobble' base-pairing, i.e. permitting non-standard base-pairing at the 3rd anti-codon position. The record is from RNAcentral. Lineage: Eukaryota; Metazoa; Arthropoda; Insecta; Odonata; Calopterygidae.
AGGACUAUAGUUAAAAAUAACAUUUAAUUUGCAAUUAAAAAGUAUUGAGUAAUCAAUUUGUCUUG